Ipomoea nil (Japanese morning glory) is the source of this 253-nucleotide long non-coding RNA. RefSeq lists it as uncharacterized. The transcript is spliced from 3 exons. NCBI's taxonomy places the organism in Eukaryota, Viridiplantae, Streptophyta, Magnoliopsida, Solanales, Convolvulaceae. The record is from RefSeq and is a predicted model, not a curated record.
UUCCAAUUUGCGGUUGAAGAGAUUGAGAGAAGGCAGACAUCUUCCUCUAUUGGUAGCUUCAAUUGACUGGUGCAUAUAAUUCAGCAAUCCACUAAGUUAGAGGCUGCUGAGCUCAGAAAGGAGCAAGUAAAGAAGUGAAGAUGAAAUAUUACAGAUGUAUCUGCAGCCAUUUGAUGAUCUUCACAAGCACCAAAACAGAUUGCCUUUCCACCAAGUGUACCCUUGGUUCCUCUCAGCUUGAAUUUCUCCUUCC